This 460-nucleotide ribosomal RNA is filed under the name uncultured bacterium. RNAcentral describes it as "partial 16S ribosomal RNA". It matches the Rfam family "Bacterial small subunit ribosomal RNA", at positions 338 to 795 of the family's 1533-position model. The record is from RNAcentral.
CCUACGCGCGGCAGCAGUGAGGAAUAUUGGUCAAUGGGCGGAAGCCUGAACCAGCCAAGUAGCGUGCAGGAUGACUGCCCUACGGGUUGUAAACUGCUUUUAUACGGGAAUAACGCGCCUUACGUGUAGGUCUUUGCAUGUACCGUAUGAAUAAGGACCGGCUAAUUCCGUGCCAGCAGCCGCGGUAAUACGGAGGGUCCGGGCGUUAUCCGGAUUUAUUGGGUUUAAAGGGAGCGUCGGUCGCAUGUCAAGCGUGCUGUGAAAUGUCCGGGCUCAACCCGGGCCUUGCAGCGCGUACUGGCGUGCUUGAGUCCGCGGAAGGCAGGCGGAAUUCGUGGUGUAGCGGUGAAAUGCUUAGAUAUGACGAAGAACCCCGAUUGCGAAGGCAGCUUGCUGCAGCGGAACUGACGCUGAUGCUCGAAAGCGCGGGUAUCGAACAGGAUUAGAUACCCCUGUAGUC